This 206-nucleotide ribosomal RNA is filed under the name uncultured Bacteroidota bacterium. RNAcentral describes it as "uncultured Bacteroidetes bacterium partial 16S ribosomal RNA". It matches the Rfam family "Bacterial small subunit ribosomal RNA", at positions 292 to 495 of the family's 1533-position model. The record is from RNAcentral. Lineage: Bacteria; Pseudomonadati; Bacteroidota.
CUGAGAGGUUAACCCCCCACACUGGUACUGAGACACGGACCAGACUCCUACGGGAGGCAGCAGUGAAGAAUAUUGGUCAAUGGACGCAGUCUGAACCAGCCAUGCCGCGUGCAGGAUGACGGCUCUAUUAGUUGUAAACUGCUUUUGUACGAGGGUAAACGCAGAUACGUGUAUCUGUCUGAAAAGUAUCGUACGAAUAAGGAUCG